GCUUGCUCUUCUUGGAUGAGUUGCGAACGGGUGAGUAACGCGUAGGUAACCUGCCUUGUAGCGGGGGAUAACUAUUGGAAACGAUAGCUAAUACCGCAUAACAAUGGAUGACACAUGUCAUUUAUUUGAAAGGGGCAAUUGCUCCACUAUAAGAUGGACCUGCGUUGUAUUAGCUAGUAGGUGAGGUAACGGCUCACCUAGGCGACGAUACAUAGCCGACCUGAGAGGGUGAUCGGCCACACUGGGACUGAGACACGGCCCAGACUCCUACGGGAGGCAGCAGUAGGGAAUCUUCGGCAAUGGGGGCAACCCUGACCGAGCAACGCCGCGUGAGUGAAGAAGGUUUUCGGAUCGUAAAGCUCUGUUGUAAGUCAAGAACGAGUGUGAGAGUGGAGAGUUCACACUGUGACGGUAGCUUACCAGAAAGGGACGGCUAACUACGUGCCAGCAGCCGCGGUAAUACGUAGGUCCCGAGCGUUGUCCGGAUUUAUUGGGCGUAAAGCGAGCGCAGGCGGUUUGAUAAGUCUGAAGUUAAAGGCUGUGGCUUAACCAUAGUACGCUUUGGAAACUGUUUAACUUGAGUGCAAGAGGGGAGAGUGGAAUUCCAUGUGUAGCGGUGAAAUGCGUAGAUAUAUGGAGGAACACCGGUGGCGAAAGCGGCUCUCUGGCUUGUAA
Molecule: ribosomal RNA, 675 nt
Filed under: uncultured Streptococcaceae bacterium
Lineage: Bacteria; Bacillati; Bacillota; Bacilli; Lactobacillales; Streptococcaceae
Description: bacterial SSU rRNA
Rfam family: Bacterial small subunit ribosomal RNA
Source: RNAcentral